This 108-nucleotide microRNA precursor is filed under the name Sorghum bicolor (sorghum). RNAcentral describes it as "MIR5565 microRNA precursor family". It matches the Rfam family "MIR5565 microRNA precursor family". The record is from Rfam by way of RNAcentral. Lineage: Eukaryota; Viridiplantae; Streptophyta; Magnoliopsida; Poales; Poaceae.
GUUGUCGGAUUCACUUCAAUCCAUAUGUGUUGGUGUGGGUUGAUGUGAAAUUUAGUUUAAAUUCUAUAACAAUCCACCUCAACGCAUGUGGAUUGAUAUGCUCCGACU